Molecule: long non-coding RNA, 401 nt
Organism: Hippocampus comes (tiger tail seahorse)
Lineage: Eukaryota; Metazoa; Chordata; Actinopteri; Syngnathiformes; Syngnathidae
Exons: 3
Source: RefSeq, a predicted model, not a curated record
UCCAGCCUUUCCGAGGUGAUUCUAUGGAGCAGUUAUAUCGAUGGAAACGACAGCCGCCACCCUAAGAAGAAGCAACGUGGGGCUUACAGGCGGGGGUUUGUGUUUAAUCGGCUAAAAGAAGAAACAGAUGAUGCAGCAGACUGCCAAGGAGACGUCUGUCUACCCAUGCAGAUGAAUGAGAAAACUUCCUUUAGGAAAGGGGAACGCCGAACAUGAAAAGCGACAAUCCAGGUGGAGAAUCUACCCUCAGUUAUUUGUUGAAAAACUCACCAUGCCACAAAAUGGUGCCAAAGUGCCUCGCUUAUCGGAAAACAAGUCAAUAUUGUUGAACUGACAUGUCAUCCGAGAGAAUCAGAUCUUUGUCGGGACGGAGUUCCGUUUUGCAUGGUCUGCUAGGUGCG